GUGGUUACACAUUCCAGGUUUGAGCAUUCGCUUGCUGUCUAUUUGCCAUACAUGACGACAAAGAAAGCCAGCAAAUUUUCAAGUCAUGUUCGCUGAUUAGGAUUGGAUUAGUCUUGGGUUAAGUAGAAUUUGAUUGAAGAGACUAACAUUAAGUAUUUGUGGAUUAAUUUUCCCAUCGUUAGAUUUUUUUUGUAUGUAGAGAAAGGUUUCUGGCUCUUAUAUACCUAACUAUUAGCCAUUUAUUCGUAUUAUUGCUUUGUUCCAAAUAAGUAAUGCUUUCAAUGCCAUUUACAGAUAAUAAACAAUUAAAUUACAAGCAUCUAUUUGCAUUUUUGGACAUAUAUUAUGCACUUAAUUUACUAUGUCAUUUUGGUUUUGGCUUUUACUUUGCCUUACUAAAUUACAUUAAUUUUAGAGCAUAUUAAGCAACUUUUAACUAUCACAAUAGUUACGUAAAGAGAUGAAGACCUAUCCAGAAAAAUGCACAUUUUGACAUAAAACCGUGAACAUCAUUAAGGUAUCUUAUCCAUGAAUAUUUAUUCUAUCUAUAUCCUCAUGAACUUAGUUUAUCUUUUCCACUUUCUUCAUAACACUACAUUAGGGGAGCCUCAUGUUCCUUAUUAUCAUUAAAAACAUAUGUGUGAUACAUGUAAUGAUCCUUAUUAUCAAUAAGACUUAGAUCUUAUCCAACAAUUAUACAUUCAAAUUCCAGCCAAAAAUUGGAAUCCCCAAUCUAACCAACUCAACAUACAGGUCUACAAAAAUAGAACAAAUUAUAGUUUUAAUCAACUCAUCUUUAACAGAUUUUGGUAAAAUAAAGUGUUCAAAGAGAAUCCAAUAUGUAGUGAGCUGUAUUUUGUGGUAUUGUGAGGAUAAGAUGAUAUAUAUGCCUCCGUUUUUUCUCAACAGGAAACUAAGAUUGUAUGAUGCUGUUGAAGACGCCAACAUAAAUGCAAAGAAAUAAGAGGGACAAAUAAAGAAUAGAGGAUUGGCAAUGAAAAUUUGAAGCGUCAAUCAGGAACAAAUGGGUGGAAAUUGCAGCAUUGAUGUCAAUUUUCUUUUCAAAAUAAACAAUGACAUAUAGACUUUAUGGGUAUUGUGAAUAAUGUAAAUAUUGUGAUCUAGGUUUUAUAUUUUGACAUUUAAGUUGUUUUGUAUUUUGCUACGAGUACUUAAUGUUUUCAUAUACUCUUUUUUUA
Molecule: long non-coding RNA, 1199 nt
Organism: Malus domestica (apple)
Lineage: Eukaryota; Viridiplantae; Streptophyta; Magnoliopsida; Rosales; Rosaceae
Source: RefSeq, a predicted model, not a curated record